Molecule: ribosomal RNA, 254 nt
Filed under: uncultured bacterium
Lineage: Bacteria
Description: partial 16S ribosomal RNA
Rfam family: Bacterial small subunit ribosomal RNA
Source: RNAcentral
UACGGGGGGAGCAAGCGUUGUUCGGAUUUACUGGGCGUAAAGGGCGCGUAGGCGGCCACCGCAAGUCAGUUGUGAAAUCUCUGGGCUUAACCCAGAACGGUCAGCUGAUACUGCGGGGCUAGAGUGCAGAAGGGGCAACUGGAAUUCUCGGUGUAGCGGUGAAAUGCGUAGAUAUUGGGAAGAACACCGGUGGCGAAAGCGCGCGACUGGACCUGAACUGACACUGAGGGACGAAAGCUAGGGGAGCGAAAGGG